GUGCUCACUUCGGCAGCACAUAUACUAAAAUUAGAACGAUACAGAGGUUAGCAUGGCCCUAGCACAAGGAUGACAGGCAAAUUCAUGAAGCAUUCCAUUAAAGA
Molecule: small nuclear RNA, 104 nt
Organism: Gorilla gorilla gorilla (western lowland gorilla)
Lineage: Eukaryota; Metazoa; Chordata; Mammalia; Primates; Hominidae
Source: Ensembl